Molecule: long non-coding RNA, 2002 nt
Organism: Phascolarctos cinereus (koala)
Lineage: Eukaryota; Metazoa; Chordata; Mammalia; Diprotodontia; Phascolarctidae
Source: RefSeq, a predicted model, not a curated record
AUCAUAGCGGAGGGGGAGGGCUGCGACUAGCUACGCCCCCUUCUCCUCCUGCUGCCUUCCCCUUCACCGCUCUACUCUUCCUCCUCCUUUCUCCUCACCGCCCUGCCCACCUUUCCAGGUGCUCUUGGGUAUUUGGAGCUUCUGGCUGUUUGCAUUUAGGAAGGAUAUUUACAGGUUUCAGGCUGCUCAACUCAUGCCAGAAGCCUAGCUCCCAUAAACGUGUUGCAGCAAAACCCAAAAAAUAGCGCCAAACUGAAUAAUGAUCAAGAAAUCUAAUGAGAAGCCUCAGAAGGUGACAUCAUCCACCCUAGAACUGUAUAAAAAGUCAACCAGAAAACCCAUGAACAUUAGGAAAGUGGGCCUUCCAGAAAAGACAGUGCAAGUGCAAACAAGACAGAAGCCUUCCAGCCUGACCAGAGAUGGACUAGAGAUACCUGUAGCUUGCAUAUCUCUAUAUUCAGAAGCAAUAAGAGGCAAAGGCUCCCAUGAUAAUGCCUAGAUUGGUUGGAAUUCACUGCAUAGAUUAUGGAAGUGACUGGGAAUGUGAAUAGGCAGUGCUUUCACCGGGACAACCCAGGCUCAGGAACUUUGAUGUUCAUAACACUCUGACCAGAGAUCCCACGAGAGCUUUGAAGAGCAAUCCAGGGGGAUCUAAAACUUAACAGUGUUAUUAGUGUAGGUACACCAUGGGAGGUGGAUAACAGUGCAAGAAUGAAGAUAACCCAGAAUGAGACCAAGCAGAACUGAUUAUCCACCCAAAAGUACAGCAGGGGGCAGAUCCUGGACCCUGGAACAAAACCCCAAAGUUAGGAAGUAAGACUGGAGAUAUAAACAAAGACAUCUAUCACUAUAUAAAAUAUUAUAUAGAUUUACAGAUACCAAAAAAAAAGAUCUAAGAGUAUUUGUACAACUUCAAAGCAAGAGACUCAAAGGAAAAAAUGGAUUUUCCAUAAGGACUACACAAAUAUCUAGAAGAAAUGAAGCAAGAUAUUGAAAAAAAAAAAAGAAAUAAAAGCUCUGAAGGGAAGAAUUAAGAGAAUAAAUGGAACAAAAAAAAUUAUAAACCUUGCCCAAGUCAUAGAUACCCUAAAAGUCAGAACAGACCAAAGAGGUCAUUGAUUUCAUGAGAUAAUGAGUAUUAGAACAAAAUCAAAAGAUUGAUAGAAAAAAAAAGAAAAUGUAGUGUCUACUAUGAAAAAUAACUGACCUGGAAAACAAUUUAAAGAGAAAAUUUACAAAUCAUCAGACUCCCUCAAAACCAUGAUUAAAAAAAAAAAGCCUGGACAUCAUAUUUUUACAAAAUUAUAAGAAAAAACUAUCCAGACCUAUUAGCAAUAGGAGGUAAAAUAGAAAUAAUCUACUUUUCCCCUCCUUAAAGAAACCAAAAAACAUUAAGACCAAGGAAUGUCAUAUCCAAAAUCCUGAAUUUUCAAGUUGAAUAAAAAAUAUUGUAAGCCAGUGCUUUAGUACAGCAUAAAUAGUAGGAGCAUAAUAAAGGUUUAUUGAUUAGCCAGAAAGAAAACAUUAAGUACUAAACCAUAAUUGGGUCUCACACAACACUUGGCAGCUUCUAUUAUAAAUCAAAGUAGAUCUUAGAAUGUAAUAUUUCAAAAGGCAAAAGAUAAAGGCUUAUAACUAAAAAUAAUUUACCCUUCAAGACUGAAUGUAAUUUUGCAGGAGAAUCUUUAAUGUAAUAGAAGACUUUCAUGAAUUCCUGAUGAGGACCUAAAAAAAAACAACUUUGAAAGGGCAGGCACAAAAGUCAAAAGUAACCUAGAAAGGUAAAUUUAUCUGAGUAUUUGCAAGGAACUGUAUUAUUGAACAGCAAGACAAAAUUAUUUUUGAACAAAUUAUGGUAUGUGUUAUCAUAGCAUAUUGUACUGUAAGAAAUAACAAGAGAGAAUUUCAUAGACUCCUGAGAAGUCAUAUGAACUAAUACAGAGUGAAAUGAGCAGAGCUGAAUAAUUUAUAUAAUAAAAACAACAUUGUAAAACAAAAGCAA